RNAcentral lists this long non-coding RNA (1051 nucleotides) under Homo sapiens (human). RNAcentral's name for it is "non-protein coding LINC01028:1". Lineage: Eukaryota; Metazoa; Chordata; Mammalia; Primates; Hominidae. The record is from RNAcentral.
GGACUGGAUAUCAGACCAAGAUUCUGAUAAAAGGGGAUAACAGAGAUUAACCGGAGCAGAAAAAGUACUUUUCUGAGCCAGAGAUAACAAGAGAAACUUAAAGAAAGUGCUGAAGCAAGAAACUUUAAGCCUGUGAGUAGGAUGAACCUAACCAGUUGGCAGUGCCUCGUACUCUGUGAUGGAUUUUCCGAAGACCAAAUGUACCAUUUUCUUGUCUUUUCAAAGAGAGCCACACAGGAAGGAAAACAAGAAAUUCAACUUUUAAGCUGGGCUAUUCAUGGCCUUUGCUAAAUCCUGGCAGAAUUUCACAGUUCUUCAUUACAAUUCAUCUCACUGAUUUCCUAAUGCAAUGAACUGGCCUUUUCAUUAAGGCCAUAGGGAAUGAAGCUGAGUUACCCAAUCAUUAAGUGUUGUUAUCUGAUGAGUGAAAAAUGGAUUACUUUUCGAUGUGCAUUUGGGGAGCCGUGUGUGUGUGUGUGUGUGUUUCCACUAGAUUCCAUUUUGCGAAAAUUGGUUCAAGUGGAAGGACAGGGUUAAUCUUUCAUGUUCUGUUCUGCUAGAACACUAUAUGGCUUUCUGCUCUGUGAGCAGGCAAAGAAAAAUUGGUGGGCUCAGGAAUCAGAAAUGCAGGGCCAACAGUCCUGUUUCUCACUUUCGAUAAAGGCCAACAUUUUACCUGCUCAAGAACACUCUAUUCCUUUAACCAACGGGAGUGUUAUUUAAUUAGUUCCUUCGUUUUUCAGCUAAAGCAGACACAUGCGCACAUCACACACACAUGCAUGCGCUGUGGUGUUUUUUCUUCUAUCACCCCUCCCUCCACAGAGAUAUCAAUUUGCAUAAGAGGAGAAAAUAAAUUCAUUUAAACCCCAUUCUAAAUUCAGUAUUAGAAAUGUAAUGAUCUCUAACACUGACCUUUUUAAAAUACUUUGUGGAUAAACCAUUGAUUUUAUUUGUUCUAAAUUUACUUUAAAAGACCUGUUUUGUAAAUCACUAAAACACAUGUAUUUUAUUUACCUGUUUGGGAUAAUAUUAAACAUAAUCUUUGAGGGUA